Molecule: ribosomal RNA, 459 nt
Filed under: uncultured bacterium
Lineage: Bacteria
Description: partial 16S ribosomal RNA
Rfam family: Bacterial small subunit ribosomal RNA
Source: RNAcentral
CCUACGGGAGGCAGCAGUGAGGAAUAUUGGUCAAUUUCCUCAAUUCUUAACCAUCCAAUCCUCUUUAUUGAGGAAGGCGCAGAGCGUCGCAGACCUCUUUUGCCGGGGGACAAAAGGCCGGACGGGUCCGGUUCUGAGGGUACCCGGAGAAAAAGCAUCGGCUAACUCCGUGCCAGCAGCCGCGGUAAUACGGAGGAUGCGAGCGUUAUCCGGAUUCAUUGGGUUUAAAGGGUGCGCAGGGGGGCCUUUAAGCCGGCGGUAAAAUCGCGGGGCCCAACCCCGCCGAGCCGUCGGAACUGGGGGCCUUGAGUGCGGCGGAGGCAUGCGGAAUGCGCGGUGUAGCGGUGAAAUGCAUAGAUAUCGCGCAGAACCCCGAUUGCGAAGGCAGCGUGCCGUGCCGCCACUGACGCUGAGGCACGAAAGCGCGGGGAUCGAACAGGAUUAGAUACCCUUGUAGUC